RNAcentral lists this ribosomal RNA (433 nucleotides) under uncultured bacterium. RNAcentral describes it as "partial 16S ribosomal RNA". It matches the Rfam family "Bacterial small subunit ribosomal RNA", at positions 29 to 507 of the family's 1533-position model. The record is from RNAcentral.
AGCGAACGCUGGCGGCAGGCCUAACACAUGCAAGUCGAACGAACUCUUCGGAGUUAGUGGCGGACGGGUGAGUAACACGUGGGAACGUGCCUUUUGGUUCGGAAUAACUCAGGGAAACUUGUGCUAAUACCGAAUGUGCCCUUCGGGGGGAAGAUUUAUCGCCAUUAGAGCGGCCCGCGUCUGAUUAGCUAGUUGGUGAGGUAACGGCUCACCAAGGCGACGAUCAGUAGCUGGUCUGAGAGGAUGACCAGCCACACUGGGACUGAGACACGGCCCAGACUCCUACGGGAGGCAGCAGUGGGGAAUCUUGCGCAAUGGGCGAAAGCCUGACGCAGCCAUGCCGCGUGAAUGAUGAAGGUCUUAGGAUUGUAAAAUUCUUUCACCGGGGACGAUAAUGACGGUACCCGGAGAAGAAGCCCCGGCUAACUUCGUG